AGGAGACAGAGUGAGGGAGUGCAGGGGGACAGAGCCGCUGGGCAGGUCAGGAGGGGCCAAGGCUAAGCUGCUGCCCUCCCCUCCUGCCUCCCCACCCCCUCUGUCUCCAUCCUCCCCACCCUCCCACCCCUUCUCCCUCUCCCUCCCUCCCUCCCUCCU
Molecule: small RNA, 159 nt
Filed under: Marmota monax (woodchuck)
Lineage: Eukaryota; Metazoa; Chordata; Mammalia; Rodentia; Sciuridae
Source: RNAcentral